CAGACCGUGAAUAUCUUGGCAACAAGCCGUGCACGGGCCUCGUGGAAGAACGGU
RNAcentral lists this small RNA (54 nucleotides) under Sinorhizobium meliloti 2011. Its description in RNAcentral is "putative ncRNA". Lineage: Bacteria; Pseudomonadati; Pseudomonadota; Alphaproteobacteria; Hyphomicrobiales; Rhizobiaceae. The record is from RNAcentral.